This 478-nucleotide ribosomal RNA is filed under the name uncultured bacterium. RNAcentral describes it as "partial 16S ribosomal RNA". It matches the Rfam family "Bacterial small subunit ribosomal RNA", at positions 29 to 507 of the family's 1533-position model. The record is from RNAcentral.
AUGAACGCUGGCGGCGUGCUUAACCCAUGCAAGUCGAGCGAGAAGUUUUGAAAAGAUUCUUCGGAUGAAAUUUAAAAUGGAAAGCGGCGGACGGGUGAGUAACGCGUAGGCAACCUGCCCCAUACAAAGGGAUAGCAUUUGGAAACGAAUAUUAAUACCUUAUGAAACUUAACUAGUCCAUGCUAGGUAGGUCAAAGAUUUAUCGGUAUGGGAUGGGCCUGCGUCUGAUUAGCUAGUUGGUGAGGUAACGGCUCACCAAGGCGACGAUCAGUAGCCGACCUGAGAGGGUGAACGGCCACAUUGGAACUGAGACACGGUCCAAACUCCUACGGGAGGCAGCAGUGGGGAAUAUUGCACAAUGGGGGAAACCCUGAUGCAGCAACGCCGCGUGAACGAUGAAGGCCUUUGGGUCGUAAAGUUCUGUUCUAGGUGAUGAAAACUGACAGUAACCUAGGAGAAAGCCCCGGCUAACUCCGUG